RNAcentral lists this transfer RNA (77 nucleotides) under Paracoccaceae bacterium. RNAcentral describes it as "Rhodobacteraceae bacterium tRNA-Arg". It matches the Rfam family "tRNA". From Rfam's summary of the family: Transfer RNA (tRNA) molecules are approximately 80 nucleotides in length. The record is from RNAcentral. Lineage: Bacteria; Pseudomonadati; Pseudomonadota; Alphaproteobacteria; Rhodobacterales; Paracoccaceae.
GGUCCGUUAGCUCAGCUGGAUAGAGUACACGCCUCCGAAGCGUGGGGUCACAGGUUCAAAUCCUGUACGGACCACCA